GAGGCGGUUAUUCCGGUGGCCGCCGCUGUGGCCUCUUUUCCUUGUCUAAAAAACAUAGGAAGUAAGGGCUGGGUAAGACGGGGCCACCAGCCGCGGUAA
Molecule: ribosomal RNA, 99 nt
Filed under: uncultured archaeon
Lineage: Archaea
Description: partial 16S ribosomal RNA
Source: RNAcentral